GUGUCUUAGGAGGAGCAAAGAGGCAGAAGUGUGGCGGGCCUUCGAGCCCCACUGGCCCCGUGGCCUGGCACUGCGACUGUCCUCCAUGACAACCCCAUGACUUUCUGGUGUGUGGGCUCCAGGUAGGACACGUGAUGUGGGUGGACAUUAUCCCAGGUGGUUGAGCCCUGCUUGACUCUCUGUUUCACCAGCCACGUCACCUGCAGGGGAGGCCACAGGUGGAGAUGGCAGAGCCUCUGAAAUGCUCCCCUGAAUGGUUGGGUCACUGCAUGAAGGACAGCGCCUGGCAGAACCAUCCGGAUGAGCGGCGGCCUCUGAGGGAGCAGGAGAUCAAUGUUCUCUGUGUUAAGUUCCUGGUAUCUUGGGCUUCUUCGUUUCUGCAGCCUGGCUUCCCCUAGUCCUGCCAUUAACUCUGUUAAAAAUGGCUUUGCCUGGCCAAAGUCCUUUCCAGCUCCGUGAGCCCGGGGCAUUCUAAAUUUCUUUUCCACGUAGAGAGUUUUUAUUAUUCUUUGGCUACAAAUUGAGAGGCAUCUCCAUGCUGCGCAAGCAACAGAAUGGUACUGAUGAGAGGGAGCAGAACCAAGGAACUGGAGGGACUUGCAAGGCCUGGUGGGUCAGUGCUAGCUGAAGGCAACCGAGUGUGAGGGUGGCUAGAGGGUCUUUGAGGGAGGAGCCCGCGGAGGUCUGGGCCUUACAGGGAAGCCUGGAGGCAGGUGGCAGGGGUCCGAGCAUGAAGACCAGUACGCAGCAGCUCUGUGCUAGGAUCCAGAAGAACGUCUCCUGGAGGGGCAGGUGUGUUCUAUACAUCAGAGAUCCAGUGUUCCAGGCCUGGCUGCUGCUUCUCUCUCAGGACAAGAGAAUGAGGGUAAAGACUAAAAGGCAUCGCGGUGUUUCCACUGGGCUAGAUGCUUUACGUGUGUUCUCUCCACUUGUUACCACCUCCCUGCCAAGCAGGGAGAUGAUCUCUAUUUCGCUCACUAGAGAAAUGCAGCUUCGAGAGAUUAAAUGUUUAAUGCAAGUGUGAUGCCAAGACCUCUACCCUUUCCUCCACACCAAGCUGCUUGGCCAAGGAGAGACUCCUGAACAAGGCUGGAGGUGGAGCUAUGCUGUCAACAAGAUUCCUGUGUUGAAGCCCCAAUCCCCAGUGUGACUGCACUUGGAGGCAGGGCCUUUAUACAGGCCAGGAAGGAGCUCUCGCCGGGAAAUGGACGAGCUGGCGCCUUGUCUCGGACUGCUGGCUUCCAGAACUGUGAGAAAUAAACUUCUGUUGUUGAAGCCCCCAGUCUGUGGUAUGUUGUUAUGGCUGCCCAAGCAGACUAAGACAGAUUUCGGUACCAAGAUGUGGGGAGCUGCUGUAACAAAUACCUAAAUAUGUGGAAGUGGCUUUGCACUGGGUAAUGGUAGAGGCUGGAGGAGUUUUGAGGUGCAUGCUAGAAAAAGCUUAGAUUGCUGUGAAGAAACUGUGGGUAGAAAUAUGGAUGUUAAAGGCAAUUCUGGUAAGGUCUCAGAAAGAAAAGAAGAGAGCUGGAGAGAAAGACUCCAUCUUCUUAGAGAACACGUAAAUAAUCAGGAACAGAGUGUUCGUGGAAAUGUGGACAUUAAGGUCAUUGUGGUGAGGUCUCCAAUGGAAACCAGCAGCAAUGUGUAACUGGAGACCAGAGGAGAGGGGAUGUCUGUUAUAAAGCAGCAAAGAACUUGGCUGGAGUGUGUUCUAGUGUUUGUGGAAGACAGAACCAUGAUCGAUGAAGCUGGAUACUGAGCUGAGGAGAUUUCUAAGCUAGAAGUUGGAGGUGCGGUCUGGAUCCUCCUGACUGCUUGUAGUGAAAUGCAAGAGAAGAGAGAGAAAUGGAAAGAGUUGUUAAGCAAAAAGGAACCAGAAUUUCACAAUUUGAAAAAUUCUCAGCCUAUCCAUAUUGGUAAGGCAAUUAGUGUGGAUGUGAACCGCAAGUGUAACCAGCCACUUCAGCAAAAGCUGGGGACAGAGUUGGGAUUAUCCUGGCAGGGACACUGCCAGUUUGAACUAAAGGGGACAGAAAAAUGGGAGGAAUGAAGGAAGGCCAUUGGAUUUCUUUGAUUCCA
Molecule: long non-coding RNA, 2079 nt
Organism: Equus caballus (horse)
Lineage: Eukaryota; Metazoa; Chordata; Mammalia; Perissodactyla; Equidae
Source: Ensembl